AGAGUUUGAUUAUGGCUCAGAUUGAACGCUGGCGGCAUGCUUUACACAUGCAAGUCGAACGGCAGCACGGGGUUUACCCUGGUGGCGAGUGGCGAACGGGUGAGGAAUACAUCGGAACGUGUCUAUAAGUGGGGGAUAACGCAUCGAAAGGUGUGCUAAUACCGCAUAAUCUCUCAGGAGAAAAGCAGGGGAUCGCAAGACCUUGCGCUUUAGGAGCGGCCGAUGCCUGAUUAGCUUGUUGGUAAGGUAAAAGCUUACCAAGGCUUCGAUCAGUAGCUGGUCUGAGAGGACGACCAGCCACACUGGGACUGAGACACGGCCCAGACUCCUACGGGAGGCAGCAGUGGGGAAUUUUGGACAAUGGGGGAAACCCUGAUCCAGCCAUGCCGCGUGAGUGAAGAAGGCCUUCGGGUUGUAAAGCUCUUUCAGCCGGAACGAAACGGUUACGAUUAAUACUCGUAAUUAAUGACGGUACCGGCAGAAGAAGCACCGGCUAACUACGUGCCAGCAGCCGCGGUAAUACGUAGGGUGCGAGCGUUAAUCGGAAUUACUGGGCGUAAAGGGUCCGCAGGUUGUUUUGUAAGUCAGAUGUGAAAGCCCCGGGCUUAACCUGGGAACUGCGUCUGAAACUACAAGGCUAGAGUAUGGCAGAGGGGGGUGGAAUUCCGCGUGUAGCAGUGAAAUGCGUAGAUAUGUGGAGGAACACCGAUGGCGAAGGCAGCCCCCUGGGUCAAUACUGACGCUGAGGGACGAAAGCAUGGGGAGCAAACAGGAUUAGAUACCCUGGUAGUCCAUGCCCUAAACGAUGUCAACUAGUUGUCGGGCCUUUACGGGCUUGGUAACGUAGCUAACGCGUGAAGUUGACCGCCUGGGGAGUACGGCCGCAAGGUUAAAACUCAAAUGAAUUGACGGGGGCCCGCACAAGCGGUGGAGCAUGUGGUUUAAUUCGACGCAACGCGAAGAACCUUACCAGGUCUUGACAUCCUGCGAACUUUCUAGAGAUAGAUUGGUGCCUUCGGGAACGCAGUGACAGGUGCUGCAUGGCUGUCGUCAGCUCGUGUCGUGAGAUGUUGGGUUAAGUCCCGUAACGAGCGCAACCCUUGUCCUUAGUUGCCAGCACAUAAUGGUGGGAACUCUAAGGAGACUGCCGGUGACAAACCGGAGGAAGGUGGGGACGACGUCAAGUCAUCAUGGCCCUUACGACCUGGGCUACACACGUGCUACAAUGGCCAGUACAGAGGGCUGCAAACCCGCGAGGGGGAGCUAAUCUCACAAAGCUGGUCGUAGUCCGGAUCGCAGUCUGCAACUCGACUGCGUGAAGUUGGAAUCGCUAGUAAUCGUGAAUCAGAAUGUCACGGUGAAUACGUUCCCGGGCCUUGUACACACCGCCCGUCACACCAUGGGAGUAGGUUGCAAAAGAAGUAGCUAGGCUAACCUUCGGGAGGCCGGUUACCACUUUGUGAUUUAUGACUGGGGUGAAGUCGUAACAAGGUA
Molecule: ribosomal RNA, 1494 nt
Filed under: uncultured bacterium
Lineage: Bacteria
Description: partial 16S ribosomal RNA
Rfam family: Bacterial small subunit ribosomal RNA
Source: RNAcentral